This 450-nucleotide ribosomal RNA is filed under the name uncultured bacterium. RNAcentral describes it as "partial 16S ribosomal RNA". It matches the Rfam family "Bacterial small subunit ribosomal RNA", at positions 354 to 796 of the family's 1533-position model. The record is from RNAcentral.
GUGGGGAAUUUUGGACAAUGGGCGAAAGCCUGAUCCAGCCAUGCCGCGUGCAGGAUGAAGGCCUUCGGGUUGUAAACUGCUUUUGUACGGAACGAAAAGACUCCUUCUAAUAAAGGGGGUCCAUGACGGUACCGUAAGAAUAAGCACCGGCUAACUACGUGCCAGCAGCCGCGGUAAUACGUAGGGUGCAAGCGUUAAUCGGAAUUACUGGGCGUAAAGCGUGCGCAGGCGGUUAUAUAAGACAGAUGUGAAAUCCCCGGGCUCAACCUGGGAACUGCAUUUGGGACUGUAUAGCUAGAGUACGGUAGAGGGGGAUGGAAUUCCGCGUGUAGCAGUGAAAUGCGUAGAUAUGCGGAGGAACACCGAUGGCGAAGGCAAUCCCCUGGGCCUGCACUGACGCUCAUGCACGAAAGCGUGGGGAGCAAACAGGAUUAGAAACCCCAGUAGUCC